CACCAAUAUUUAAGUUUCUGUUUAGAAAGAUCCAGAAACAAAUUAUGUAUUAUGGCUUAUAGCUAGAGGAAGCAGUUCCUGUUUGCUAGUGAUAUCAAGAUAAAACAGAUUUUUAUAAUAACAUUUGAAUAAAUAGCCUAAUUACUCUAAAAAUAUGACAGAGAAGCCCUGUAAGAGAUUCUUAUUUUAUAUUACAAGUAAAAUAAGAAUCUCAGAUAUCUAUCACAAAAAAAGAUACUAUUCAUCAUUGCAAAUGACUCUACUUCAUUUUUUUUUCCUCAGCUUCAAAUUCACACUUGACUAACGUUGAGAAAAAAAAGCCAGAUAUUUGUCUGUGAUGGUGAAUUGUGAAUUUGAGAAAUGAAUGAACAUGAACAUAGGGAAACCACUUCAUUUAUUUAGAGUUUGAUCUUCAUUUGUCAAAGCUGUUCUAGGUAGUUUCAAGUACAACAUUAGGAUCUUCCUGCUUUGGAAUAUGAAGGGUAUUGAAUAGAAAUGAAUUCUUGUAAACAGCUCCCUUCCAGCCUUUUUAGUUUCAGAGUCUACUCCAACAGGAUGGAUUUGCAAGGUAUGAGAAAGAUAUGGACUGACUUCUUUUCCUUCCCUGCUUCACUAAUAGUAAAUAUGGCCUCUUUUCCUUCCCAGAUCCUAGUUGCAGCUCCCAGCCAUUCCCUUCUCUCCCUUUCCUUGCUUCCAGCACUUCAAGACUGUAACCCUAGCUGCUAUAUUUCCUUCCUUUCUUUAGCAAAUAUGAACAUAGAAAAUGCUUUAGGUAGGGUUGGUUGCAUAUUAUAAAGUCAAAAUAGAAAGUAAAUGGAGUGGUCAGUUCAGGUAAUUACUUGUUUUAAUGUAGUAUUCGUCAUGAGAAAAAUUACUUGUACUUUCUUUGUCCUUCGUUUUCAUUGAGUCUCAGAUCCUUGGUAUAAAGCAGAACUAAUAACACUGCCUAAUCUCAUGGAGUAUGUAUGAGUCGUAAUUAAUUAAUACAUGAAGACUGUUUAGAAAGCCGAGUUAAUAGAAAUGAGGGAAGUAGGGCUUAUUGUUGUUCACUUCUUGUAUAUGCUUUUCAAGACAUAUACACUCAUUUACCUGGCCACUGGGAAAUGUUUUAAGCAGUAUAAAGAAAAUGAAAUCAUGUUUUAUGCAUGUACAUAUCAUAUUCUGGCAAAUAUAUCUUAAAGUCACUGACAGUAUUCAGAAUAAACCUAAAAGAGUGAAACUCUUUGUUGGUAAUAUAACAAUUCCUUCAUUCUGUAGGCAACCACACUGUGUUGAUUAACAAAACAUGCUACUAAUGUGCUCCACAUAGGUUAACUGUGUACAAUAGUUCAGAUCCCUUCUGAAUUGUAAAGAUCUCUCCUGUAUGAGUUUUUUGUUUGUUUCAUUGGUUUGUUUGGUUUUGUGUUGUUUUUGUUAAUAAUUACUUUGCAGAGCAGAAAUUUCAUUUCUGUACCAUUGCUCUUUGAAAAUACAGAGCUAAUAUCUGUUUCAGUAGCAUCUAACAACUUCCUUCCCUGGGUUCAUGUAUGACCCUGUGACAAAAAUUUGACCAUAAAGAUAGAGAAAUGUUGAAAGCUGUAAAUAACAUUUGCUUAGUAAUGAAUGGGUGUGAGUUCUGAAGACAACCAAAGAAAUGAUAGGAAAAUUAUCAUAGUAGAAGUGAGUUAAAAUGGUACCUGACUGUAGCAUAAACUACAGGAAAAAAGACUGUAUUAAUAAGAAGUGGAGUUUAGUCCAGUGUCUUCUAGGAUUGUAAGCCAUGGAGAGUGCUCCAAAUUCCAAAAUGAAACCCAAACCAAAUUCAGAUUUUCUGAAUUGAUUGAUUUAUUUAUAUUUUGAAUCAAUAUGUUGGAUUAAGACUUCCGGGACAUGUAUUCAAACCCGAUCUUUGUUAUUACUGCGUAAUACUCCUGUUUUGCUUGUUUGCAUUACAAGCAAGUGUAAGAAAAAAAUAACUGCUAUUCUCCUACCACUGCCACAGUGAACUAGCAGGGUAUUAUGUUGGAGGAGAAACUGCGUCACACAAUUGGAAAAAAAAUGUUGAUUUUUCCCUUCCUCCACACCACAAUUUUAUAGAAAUGAAAGCAUUUUUUUUUCAAAGUGGAUAUUUUUUCCUUUAACUUUCUUUCACUUUCCUUUUUUUUUUUUUUUUUUCUCCAAACUAUGAAUUUAAAGAUGUAGUGACUGAGAUAUUUCCGCACCAUGAACUGCUUCAUUAUUGAAUGGUAAAAUAUCACUAACUUUCUUUAAAAUAAACUUAACCCACAAUGUCAGAAUGGUUAAUUUAGCCCCUGUAUGUGAUAUGCAAUUGUUCUGUGUUCCAGUUACCGUUUUGUUAAAUGGUAAUAAUUCUUCUGUUCUUCUGGUCAUCUAUAUUUUGUAUACUUUUUCUAGUUCUACUGAAACAUUUUUGAAGUGGCAUAGCUCUUGCUAUUUACAUCAUUUUGAGCUUUUUUUUCCCAUCUAAGUGCAACGACAUAGGACUCUUGUUUCAGUAGAUUUGGUUUUUCACCUUCAUUUUCACCUUCAUUCAUAAUUUUUAUAACAUCAUAACGUAAACUUCGUGAACCCCAUUGUGAGGAUACAAAUUUUCUGAAUAUAAGGGAAAAGAAUCUACAAUGACUUUGAUCUUUGGGGUGGGUUGCCAAGAGAAGUUGUAGAAUCUCCACAUAGAAACCCAACUGGGUAAAGACCCUAUCAACGUAAUGUAACUUGGAAGUUGUGCCUGCUUUGAGUGAGACUUUGGAACAGAGGACCUUCAGAAGUCACUUCUGAUUGAAAUUAUGAUUUUGUUGUACUUCAGUUCUUCUGCCAAUAUUUUUAGCUGUUCAACCAGUUAGUUCCCAUAAAAUCAUUAAUUUUAUGGUGGUUGGCUUGGGAAGCCGCUUAAUUGUGGGAGUGACUGCAGCUCAUUUUGAAACAUCUUGCAUUUCUACAAACAGUGCUCUGCUUCCUCUUCAUUCAUUGUUCAUUGGGUAUGGAACAAACUGGCUGCAAAGAAGUCAGGGAUAUUAAUGUUCUUUCUGUGCACAAGGAGAAAGUAUGUUCAGUCUAAUACAAUUUUAAAUUUCAUGAAAAGAAGACAAAAUAUCAAGAAGGAAGACAAAUAAAUCAUUGCUGAGAGAAUGCAGAGAGGGUGUGCCUGUUUUCCAUAAAGGGUUGAAAUCCUGAAGCUAAGUGAGCUACACUCUGAAGAUACUAGAUUUUGAAAAGCUUUUCAGCACAUUUUGAAUCAACUGUGACUGAGUUUUGCAUAAUUAAGUUGCUCAAGUGGUUCUGCAAAUCUGGGAUAACUCCUAUUAAAGAAAAAGGAUAAAAAGGAUAAAAAGGAAAAAAAAGAUGUCGUACAUUCAAAAGACAUUUCCACACUUGGGGAGAACACAGAUUAUAAGGAAACAGCUGAAUUCAGAGGUAUAAGGCAAGAAAAAGACAGAAGCACGACAGAAGAAAGUUCAGACUUUCUCCCCUCUCUUAUGUGUCUGUUUAUAUUUGAAUAUUUUUAAACAUGGAGUGUUGGGAAUGAAGAAUUGUAUUUUGAAUGAAAGAGACAUCUAAGUCCUACAAAGAAAAGAAAAGAAAACAAACAAACAAACAAAAAACAAACAUGAAAUCUUUGUUUUUCACUCUGUUCUUUCUCUUUCUUACAAUAGGAGACCAAAAGUGCUGUACAACUGGCAGAGUUGUAUCUCAGGUAUCCCCCAGUCUAAAUAAAAGUGGGAAAAAGAAGAAAACACAAGAUAUUUUGGAUACAUAUAUAUUUUUCGGAUUCUGCUAAAUAAGGAAAAACAACAAAUUUAUGUGUUGAGGCAUUCUCAAUAGGAUAUGCUGCAUGCUACAUGUAACAUUAUAUAUUACAAUUUCUCUACAAAUAAACAUUGCA
This is a long non-coding RNA of Cygnus olor (mute swan), 3880 nucleotides long. RefSeq lists it as uncharacterized. NCBI's taxonomy places the organism in Eukaryota, Metazoa, Chordata, Aves, Anseriformes, Anatidae. The record is from RefSeq and is a predicted model, not a curated record. The transcript is spliced from 3 exons.